This 916-nucleotide ribosomal RNA is filed under the name uncultured archaeon. RNAcentral describes it as "bacterial SSU rRNA". It matches the Rfam family "Archaeal small subunit ribosomal RNA", at positions 1 to 922 of the family's 1478-position model. RNAcentral also lists the same sequence under 1 other name. The record is from RNAcentral.
UUCCGGUUGAUCCUGCCGGAGGCUACUGCUAUCGGGGUCCGACUAAGCCAUGCGAGUUGAGAGGGGUAAGCCCUCGGCAUAUUGCUCAGUAACACGCGGAUAACCUGCCCUUGGGUUUGGGAUAACCCCGGGAAACUGGGACUAAUACCGGAUAGAUCAAAGAAACUGGAAUGUUCUCUGAUCGAAAGCUCCGGCGCCCAAGGAUGGGUCUGCGGCCUAUCAGGUAGUAGUGGGUGUAACGUACCUACUAGCCUACGACGGGUAAGGGUUGUGAGAGCAAGAGCCCUGAGAUGGAUUCUGAGACAUGAAUCCAGGCCCUACGGGGUGCAGCAGGCGCGAAAACUUUACACUGCGGGAAACCGCGAUAAGGGGACCCCGAGUGCCAGCACCUAGUGCUGGCUGUCCAGCUGUUCAAAUAACAGUUGUUAGCAAGGGCCGGGCAAGACCGGUGCCAGCCGCCGCGGUAACACCGGCGGCCCGAGUGGUAGCCGUUAUUAUUGGGUUUAAAGGGUCCGUAGCCGGCCUAUUAAGUCUCUUGGGAAAUCUGGCGACUCAAUCGUCAGGCGUUCAAGAGAUACUGGUAGGCUUGGGACCGGGAGAGGUGGGAGGUACUCCAGGGGUAGGGGUGAAAUCUCGUAAUCCUUGGGGGACCACCGAUGGCGAAGGCAUCCCACCAGAACGGGUCCGACGGUGAGGGACGAAAGCUGGGGGCACGAACCGGAUUAGAUACCCGGGUAGUCCCAGCCGUAAACGAUGCUCGCUAGGUGUCAGGUGCGGUGCGACCGCAUCUGGUGCCGCAGUGAAAACUUGAAGCGAGUCACCUGGGAAGUACGGUCGCAAGGCUGAAACUUAAAGGAAUUGGCGGGGGAGCACUACAACGGGUGGAGCCUGCGGUUCAAUUGGAUUCAACGCCGGA